CAGUCGCCACGGGAAUACGGAGGGUGCAAGCGUUAUCCGGAUUCACUGGGUUUAAAGGGUGCGUAGGCGGAUCUGUAAGUCAGUGGUGAAAUCUCCAGGCUUAACCUGGAAACUGCCGUUGAUACUAUAGGUCUUGAAUUUUGUGGAGGUUAGCGGAAUAUGUCAUGUAGCGGUGAAAUGCAUAGAUAUGACAUAGAACACCAAUUGCGAAGGCAGCUGGCUACACAACUAUUGACGCUGAGGCACGAAAGCGUGGGGAUCAAACAGGAUUAGAUACCCCCGUAGUCCCUGUCUUUUAUAC
Molecule: ribosomal RNA, 301 nt
Filed under: uncultured bacterium
Lineage: Bacteria
Description: partial 16S ribosomal RNA
Rfam family: Bacterial small subunit ribosomal RNA
Source: RNAcentral